Molecule: non-coding RNA, 95 nt
Organism: Nicotiana sylvestris (wood tobacco)
Lineage: Eukaryota; Viridiplantae; Streptophyta; Magnoliopsida; Solanales; Solanaceae
Source: Rfam
UGGACAAAUUAUUGUAUUCGACUGUAUUCACGGGUGAAACAGGGGAUUAUACUGCUUUUAAACGGAAAGUGAAUCAAUUAACAUAAUAGACUCCU